RNAcentral lists this unclassified non-coding RNA (304 nucleotides) under uncultured fungus. RNAcentral describes it as "partial contains small subunit ribosomal RNA, internal transcribed spacer 1, and 5.8S ribosomal RNA". The stretch from base 1 to 73 matches the Rfam family "Eukaryotic small subunit ribosomal RNA", at positions 1759 to 1831 of the family's 1831-position model. The record is from RNAcentral. Lineage: Eukaryota; Fungi.
GCAAACUUGGUCAUUUAGAGGAAGUAAAAGUCGUAACAAGGUUUCCGUAGGUGAACCUGCGGAAGGAUCAUCAAAAAUUUUUUUGAACUUUUUUAUGGAUCAAAAAAAAUCCAUAAAUUCACCUUGUGUGCAACUACUGAAAAAGGUAGCCUUCUGGGAGAUUGGGAUUUUCUGAUUCACAUAUCUCCCAAAAGGUAUAUUCAAUCUACAAUUUUUUUUACGACUAAAAAAUUGAUUAAUUUAAUAAAAAAAGAUAACUUUCAACAACGGAUCUCUUGGCUCUCGCAUCGAUGAAGAACGCAGC